This 497-nucleotide ribosomal RNA is filed under the name uncultured bacterium. RNAcentral describes it as "partial 16S ribosomal RNA". It matches the Rfam family "Bacterial small subunit ribosomal RNA", at positions 28 to 507 of the family's 1533-position model. The record is from RNAcentral.
GAUGAACGCUGGCGGCGUGCCUAAUACAUGCAAGUCGAGCGAACGGACGAGGAGCUUGCUCCUCUGACGUUAGCGGCGGACGGGUGAGUAACACGUGGAUAACCUACCUAUAAGACUGGGAUAACUUCGGGAAACCGGAGCUAAUACCGGAUAAUAUAUUGAACCGCAUGGUUCAAUAGUGAAAGACGGUUUUGCUGUCACUUAUAGAUGGAUCCGCGCCGCAUUAGCUAGUUGGUAAGGUAACGGCUUACCAAGGCAACGAUGCGUAGCCGACCUGAGAGGGUGAUCGGCCACACUGGAACUGAGACACGGUCCAGACUCCUACGGGAGGCAGCAGUAGGGAAUCUUCCGCAAUGGGCGAAAGCUUGACGGAGCAACGCCGCGUGAGUGAUGGAGGUCUUCGGAUCGUAAAACUCUGUUAUUAGGGAAGAACAAAUGUGUAAGUAACUAUGCACGUCUUGACGGUACCUAAUCAGAAAGCCACGGCUAACUACGUG